GACGAACGCUGGCGGCGUGCCUAAUGCAUGCAAGUCGAGCGGGCUACGAUCUUCGGAUUGUAGCUUAGCGGCGAACGGGUGAGUAACACGUAGGUAAUCUACCCUUCAGAGGAGGACAACCUCAGGAAACUGAGGCUAAACCUUCAUACGUUCACUGGUAGGGAUACUGGUGAAGAAAGAGUUACCUUAAAGGUAGCUGCUGAAGGAUGAGCCUGCGGCCCAUCAGGUAGUUGGUGAGGUAACGGCUCACCAAGCCGAAGACGGGUAACCGGUCUGAGAGGAUGUCCGGUCACACUGGGACUGAGACACGGCCCAGACUCCUACGGGAGGCAGCAGCAGGGAAUCUUGGGCAAUGGGCGAAAGCCUGACCCAGCGACGCCGCGUGGAGGAAGAAGUCCUUCGGGGCGUAAAGCUCUGUCCUAGGGGAAGAUAAUGACGGUACCUAGGAGGAAGCCCCGGCUAACUACGUG
This 470-nucleotide ribosomal RNA is filed under the name uncultured bacterium. Its description in RNAcentral is "bacterial SSU rRNA". It matches the Rfam family "Bacterial small subunit ribosomal RNA", at positions 28 to 507 of the family's 1533-position model. The record is from RNAcentral.